This is a non-coding RNA of Picea glauca (white spruce), 73 nucleotides long. The record is from Rfam. Lineage: Eukaryota; Viridiplantae; Streptophyta; Pinopsida; Pinales; Pinaceae.
GGAUCCAUAUCCCCAUGGAUAAAGAAUUGGUCUGCGAAACCAGAUAUUUUGGGUUUGAUCCCUAAUGGAGUCA